AAAACUACUAUGGGAUUCUAUUUGUCACCUCAAGACUUUCCAACACUUACAAUCAUAGCAUACUACACGCAUGCUCUCCAACAAAUACUAUCAACAAUCAUUUCUACACUACUAUUCACUAUCUAGUGCAAAAAGAAGAAGGAAAGAAAAGUAUGAAACUUAUCAAAGAAGGAAAGAGAAAGGAGGAAAGAAGAGAACGUGUGAGUGCAACAAAAAGGUGAAAGAAACAUCAAUUACUGUUACAGCACGCCCCUUCCUUCAAACUCUGCGGCCACCUACUCACAGUCAUGCUAUAGUACAAAGUAGCGGUCUUUCAGCCGCACACCUUAUACCUAAUCCUAUUCCUUCACUUGUAAGCUCUCUUAUGGAAUUAAGAUAGUCAAGUAGCCAACUUCACUUAAAAAAAUACAACACCAGCCAUAAUUCUUUUCCUUCUUUUAGGCGCACCAAGGUUCAGAGAGGGAGGGUUGUUUCUUUUAACUCCAGCCUUGAUUUCGAAGAGGUAAGUUGUAGCUUGAACUUCCCCAUUCUUCCAUAGUUCACCUGCAUUCGUUAAGGAAUCAUUUUUAUUUCAGUUAUUCUCCUUCUGAAAUCAAUAGCAGCAGCCACCAAACACCAAACAAUUACAAGGUAAUUGCUAAACUCAGUUAUUCUAGUCAAUGUUACAUGCUCAUACCCAUCAAGGCAUCUUUUAACAAAAAAAUACUGAGUUCAUAAAUGAGUCUAUAUACUUAAGGGGCUUAGCAAUCACAAAGUCAGUAAGAACUCUUAUGAUAUAGAAACAACUACAUGCUUAGUUUAAUCUCUUGCAUAAUCGAAAAUAGGAAUCAAGAUGAUUUAUGGCCUGCACCAAAUUGGAAAAACAACUAGGCGUCGCGAACCAUGUACAGAUAUGCAAUAGAGCCUCCCAGCAACAUAUAUGCAAUAAUAAAAUGGCAGCAAGAAGUGAGUGACGUAUACAAAACAAAUCCCUAUUAUACUGUAGAAAUAAGUUCGAACUUAGCUUUGCCUUGAAUGAUGCUGGCUCGCCGGAGUUCGAGCAGGGGCAGCGAUGGUUCAGAAGCCGGAGCAGCGGCUUCAGCAAGAUAGUAUCUUGCUGAAGAAUGGGGAGAGCGGCGCCAGGGACAAACGGCGACCGCUAGUCGCUGGGUUUACAGACCCAACAACGACGACUGAUCUGCUACAACACGGGGAAGAGAGGAGCAGUCGAAUUUGUUUCCGGUUGAGUAAUUUAGCGUCGGCCUCGCCGGAUUUUCAGAUUCGAGGUGACGGCGCUGCGAUUUCAGAGAAAGAGCCAAGGGCACGACGACUCCCAACGACCCUCGCCGAUUCUGAACCAGCAGCAGCGUAGCUGAACCGAGAGGGGACGACGCCGGGGUUAGACACGGAGACAGCCAACGCUGGAUGGAGCUGGCGGAAGUUGAACGGCCGGGGAAGGAGAAGCCGACUGGAGUUGAAAGGGAAGGCCGAUCUGAUUUUGGGGGAGAAAACCCGUUUGAAACUUCAAGGGAGAAUUGGGGCUUUGCUUUUCCUUCGUGGAAGAGACGAGGAGCGAGGCGGGCUGCUGGAGAUCAGACCAGCGACCUCGAUUCCGGGCAAAGCAGCUGCAACUCCGGGCGGCGGCGUUACCUCAGCAGCGGCGACGUCCGGCGAUAGAGCUUCCACGCGUGUCGGCGGACGGCGGCGGUUGCACCAGAUCUUCACCGAUAUUAGAGGCAUCGACCACGCCGGUUGAGAGAAGCGGCACUGGAGUUUUAGAGCCUCGGAAACAGCGGCCUGCUUCGCCGGAGAAGAUCCGCGACGGCGGCGAUUUGAGAAAUGAAGGAGUUAGGGUUCAAUUCCUGAUUUUGAUUGAGCAUAACUUGAGUAGAGAGAAGACAAGGCCGUUGAAGGCGUAGGCUUCGCCGGAUUAUCAGGAGCCGCCGCCGCGACUGCGACAAUCGACGAACGGCGACAGAUUUGGGCAUGUGCCUGUGAACGGAACCAAGCGAGAGAGGGAGAGGUUUGCUGCGAGUGUGUGUGUAAUUAGAGAGAGGAAGACCGAUUGAUGAGAGAGAGAAAUGGGCUGAUUGGAAUUGGGCCUUUAUUUUCUUAAUUAUGGGCCAUUAUUUUAUUUCUUUCUGUUAGGUCAGUUUAUUUAUUUCAGAUGGGCCGCAUUCUUGGACCAGUAUUAAUAGAAAUGGGCUGAUCUUUUUAAGAGCUGUAUAUUUAAGCUGGGCCAGAGUUAGAAUGGACUGUAUGAUUAGAUGGUUUCCAGGCCCAGUUCCUUAUCUAUUUAUUUGGGCUGUCCUAUGUUGCUCCCUUUAAAUAAUGAGGUUGCCUUAUUAUUUUAUUCUAGUUCGAUUAAAGACUAGUCUAGAUUUGUAUUAAUUGGAUUCUAGCUAUUUAUUAAUUUAGGUACGAGGUUAUUAAUUAGUAAAUAGGGUUAGCAAACCUAAUGAGAUGAGUGGAUUAAUUAAGAUUAAUAACUCAAUCUCAUAAGACGAGCUGUAAUCAUAUAGUUUGGAUUAUUAUUAGAAUUUUUUUCAGAUUAUUAUCCCAGAAUAAUAAUUAAAGGAAUAUGAGUCAUGCAUAUUUAUUUUACGCAUUCUCAUUUAUUUGAGAAUUUUCAUCGAGCUAAGGUUUGACCUUAUGUUCUCGCAUUCAAGGUUAAGCGCAAGAGUAAGAGCUAGUCAAUGAGUUACUGAACUGUAGCAAAGCUUCACUAUCAGGU
RNAcentral lists this long non-coding RNA (2713 nucleotides) under Salvia miltiorrhiza (redroot sage). RNAcentral's name for it is "long non-coding RNA (SMIL_LNC009095)". The record is from RNAcentral. Lineage: Eukaryota; Viridiplantae; Streptophyta; Magnoliopsida; Lamiales; Lamiaceae.